GUCUAUGGCCAUACAACCCUGAAUGUGCCCCAUCUCCUCUGAUCUCAGAAGCUAAGUAGGUUUGGACCUGGUUAGUACUUAGAUGGGAGGAUGGUGGAGGGGGAUUUAAACU
This is a ribosomal RNA of Ictidomys tridecemlineatus (thirteen-lined ground squirrel), 112 nucleotides long. NCBI's taxonomy places the organism in Eukaryota, Metazoa, Chordata, Mammalia, Rodentia, Sciuridae. The record is from Ensembl.